This 456-nucleotide ribosomal RNA is filed under the name uncultured organism. RNAcentral's name for it is "bacterial SSU rRNA". It matches the Rfam family "Bacterial small subunit ribosomal RNA", at positions 346 to 794 of the family's 1533-position model. The record is from RNAcentral.
GUGCACCAGUCGAGAAUUUUUCUCAAUGGGGGCAACCUUGAAGGAGCGACGCCGCGUGGAGGAUGAAGGCUUUCGGGUUGUAAACUCCUGUCAUUUGAGAACAAGUGUAGCCAAGUAACUACUGGCUACUUGAUAGUAUCAGAAGAGGAAGGGACGGCUAACUCUGUGCCAGCAGCCGCGGUAAUACAGAGGUCCCAAGCGUUGUUCGGAUUCAUUGGGCGUAAAGGGUGCGUAGGUGGCGCCGUAAGUGGGGUGUGAAAUUUCGGAGCUUAACUCCGAAACUGCAUUCCAUACUGCGGUGCUUGAGGACUGGAGAGGAGACUGGGAAUUCAUGGUGUAGCAGUGAAAUGCGUAGAGAUCAUGAGGAAGACCAGUGGCGAAGGCGGGUCUCUGGACAGUUCCUGACACUGAGGCACGAAGGCCAGGGGAGCGAACGGGAUUAGAUACCCCUGUAGU